RNAcentral lists this ribosomal RNA (916 nucleotides) under Escherichia coli. Its description in RNAcentral is "partial 23S ribosomal RNA". It matches the Rfam family "Bacterial large subunit ribosomal RNA", at positions 609 to 1529 of the family's 2925-position model. The record is from RNAcentral. Lineage: Bacteria; Pseudomonadati; Pseudomonadota; Gammaproteobacteria; Enterobacterales; Enterobacteriaceae.
UGUAUAAUGGGUCAGCGACUUAUAUUCUGUAGCAAGGUUAACCGAAUAGGGGAGCCGAAGGGAAACCGAGUCUUAACUGGGCGUUAAGUUGCAGGGUAUAGACCCGAAACCCGGUGAUCUAGCCAUGGGCAGGUUGAAGGUUGGGUAACACUAACUGGAGGACCGAACCGACUAAUGUUGAAAAAUUAGCGGAUGACUUGUGGCUGGGGGUGAAAGGCCAAUCAAACCGGGAGAUAGCUGGUUCUCCCCGAAAGCUAUUUAGGUAGCGCCUCGUGAAUUCAUCUCCGGGGGUAGAGCACUGUUUCGGCAAGGGGGUCAUCCCGACUUACCAACCCGAUGCAAACUGCGAAUACCGGAGAAUGUUAUCACGGGAGACACACGGCGGGUGCUAACGUCCGUCGUGAAGAGGGAAACAACCCAGACCGCCAGCUAAGGUCCCAAAGUCAUGGUUAAGUGGGAAACGAUGUGGGAAGGCCCAGACAGCCAGGAUGUUGGCUUAGAAGCAGCCAUCAUUUAAAGAAAGCGUAAUAGCUCACUGGUCGAGUCGGCCUGCGCGGAAGAUGUAACGGGGCUAAACCAUGCACCGAAGCUGCGGCAGCGACGCUUAUGCGUUGUUGGGUAGGGGAGCGUUCUGUAAGCCUGCGAAGGUGUGCUGUGAGGCAUGCUGGAGGUAUCAGAAGUGCGAAUGCUGACAUAAGUAACGAUAAAGCGGGUGAAAAGCCCGCUCGCCGGAAGACCAAGGGUUCCUGUCCAACGUUAAUCGGGGCAGGGUGAGUCGACCCCUAAGGCGAGGCCGAAAGGCGUAGUCGAUGGGAAACAGGUUAAUAUUCCUGUACUUGGUGUUACUGCGAAGGGGGGACGGAGAAGGCUAUGUUGGCCGGGCGACGGUUGUCCCGGUUUAAGCGUGUAGGCUGGU